Molecule: long non-coding RNA, 408 nt
Organism: Galeopterus variegatus (Sunda flying lemur)
Lineage: Eukaryota; Metazoa; Chordata; Mammalia; Dermoptera; Cynocephalidae
Exons: 3
Source: RefSeq, a predicted model, not a curated record
AUGAAGAUUCGAUUCCUGCCUUUAGACUUGCUAAUUUUAUGAUCUUGGGACUUGUUAUCACCUGGCUCAAAUUGACUUAUACAAAACAAACAAAAAGACUGACAUUACAUAAAGCUAGAUCCAGAGGUUCAAAUGAUGUUAGAGGAUGCAGGACUUUCUUUCCAUCAGGAAGAACAGGAGAGAGGAGCUAGUAUUCACUGGAAUGGAGGUAACUCUCAGGGUGAUCUUGGAAGUUAUAUACUGAAGACAGCAAAACCACUUACCCUGGUUUCCUGGAUGACUGUAUGGAGCAGGACCUCCUCCCACCCAUCCUUUGUGCCCACCCAUCCCAACUGAUUUGGAACAACCAUGGACUGUUAUGUGAGCAAGAAAUAAUCUUCUGUUGUGUGGACCCACUAUGUAUUUGGU